Molecule: unclassified non-coding RNA, 431 nt
Filed under: Hevea brasiliensis (rubber tree)
Lineage: Eukaryota; Viridiplantae; Streptophyta; Magnoliopsida; Malpighiales; Euphorbiaceae
Source: RNAcentral
AGUUUAAUAUCUUGCUAAGAAAGAUGUAAGACUUUGGUAAAAAAUGCUCUUCCUGAAACCUAAGUAAAAAAUAUUGAAGAGGAAUGAACACAUACAAAUAUUAAAGAAAAAAGACAUUAGAAAAACAUGCCUUCUCUCUCCUCCCAUUGCCAAAAAACACCACCAAACUAAGCAUGGUUGGUCCCAAACUAAAGCCCUUGCCAUCAGGAGUCCAGUGAUACCAAAAAUAUAUUAAUUCGAUACUAGGAGCCAUCAGAAUCUCAGAAGGAAGUUUGUGGUGUCUUACUCUACCCCAUCGUUUUCUCGUUGGAUUUUUUUCAUUCAUGUCGCCUUUUGUGUCCAUCGACUUCAUCUAUAGGGAGGGGAUGGAAGCCCGCUUGUGUGGGAAUUGAUUGCUAGUAGGAGCAUGAAGAACAGAAGGAGAAGAAAUG